This 227-nucleotide ribosomal RNA is filed under the name uncultured bacterium. Its description in RNAcentral is "partial 16S ribosomal RNA". It matches the Rfam family "Bacterial small subunit ribosomal RNA", at positions 107 to 334 of the family's 1533-position model. The record is from RNAcentral.
UGAGUAAGACGUAUCCAACCUGCCGUCUACUCUUGGACAGCCUUCUGAAAGGAAGAUUAAUACAAGAUGGCAUCAUGAGUCCGCAUGUUCACAUGAUUAAAGGUAUUCCGGUAGACGAUGGGGAUGCGUUCCAUUAGAUAGUAGGCGGGGUAACGGCCCACCUAGUCUUCGAUGGAUAGGGGUUCUGAGAGGAAGGUCCCCCACAUUGGAACUGAGACACGGUCCAA